ACAUACUUCUUUAUAUGCCCAUAUGAACCUAAACAACUAUGGAAUGUAAAGAAGUAUGUAU
RNAcentral lists this microRNA precursor (61 nucleotides) under Scyliorhinus torazame (cloudy catshark). RNAcentral describes it as "Sto-Mir-1-P1_pre stem-loop". It matches the Rfam family "mir-1 microRNA precursor family", at positions 10 to 70 of the family's 79-position model. Rfam says of the family: This family represents the microRNA (miRNA) mir-1 family. miRNAs are transcribed as ~70nt precursors (modelled here) and subsequently processed by the Dicer enzyme to give a ~22nt product. In this case the mature sequence comes from the 3' arm of the precursor. The record is from RNAcentral. Lineage: Eukaryota; Metazoa; Chordata; Chondrichthyes; Carcharhiniformes; Scyliorhinidae.